GAAGCUGUCGUCUAGCGGCUAAGGGCACCUAUUCCGAGCGCGACGGUAACGGGGAACGCUGGUUCGAAUCCAGCCGGCUUCG
RNAcentral lists this transfer RNA (82 nucleotides) under Duganella sp. Leaf126. It matches the Rfam family "tRNA". From Rfam's summary of the family: Transfer RNA (tRNA) molecules are approximately 80 nucleotides in length. Their secondary structure includes four short double-helical elements and three loops (D, anti-codon, and T loops). The record is from Rfam by way of RNAcentral. Lineage: Bacteria; Pseudomonadati; Pseudomonadota; Betaproteobacteria; Burkholderiales; Oxalobacteraceae.